Molecule: ribosomal RNA, 838 nt
Filed under: Bacillus sp. AV13
Lineage: Bacteria; Bacillati; Bacillota; Bacilli; Caryophanales; Bacillaceae
Description: bacterial SSU rRNA
Rfam family: Bacterial small subunit ribosomal RNA
Source: RNAcentral
AAGACGGUGAGCGGGUGCUUGCACUCGUGGAUCCGUGGCGAACGGGUGAGUAACACGUGAGUAACCUGCCCUCCACUCUGGGAUAAGCGCUGGAAACGGCGUCUAAUACUGGAUACGACCGACCCUCGCAUGGGGUGUUGGUGGAAAGAUUUAUCGGUGGUGGAUGGACUCGCGGCCUAUCAGCUUGUUGGUGGGGUAAUGGCCUACCAAGGCGACGACGGGUAGCCGGCCUGAGAGGGCGACCGGCCACACUGGGACUGAGACACGGCCCAGACUCCUACGGGAGGCAGCAGUGGGGAAUAUUGCACAAUGGGCGAAAGCCUGAUGCAGCGACGCCGCGUGAGGGAUGACGGCCUUCGGGUUGUAAACCUCUUUCAGCAGGGAAGAAGCUUUUGUGACGGUACCUGCAGAAGAAGCACCGGCUAACUACGUGCCAGCAGCCGCGGUGAUACGUACGGUGCGAGCGUUGUCCGGAAUUAUUGGGGCGUGAAGAGCUUGUAGGCGGUUUGUCGCGUCUGCUGUGAAGAUUCAGGGCUUAACCCGUGGACAUGCAGUGGGUACGGGCAGACUAUAGUAUGGUAGGGGGAGACUGGAAUUCCUGGCUGUGGCGGCUGCAAUGCGCAUAUAUCUCGGAGGCAUCACCGAUGGCGAAGGCAGGUGUCUUGCGCCAUUAGUGAUGCUGAUGAUCUAUGCAUGGUGCAGCGAACAGGAUUGGAUACCUGCUACCCUAUGCUCUAUAGUCGGCCGCUACCCCUGGAUCGUCAUGCGAUGAGAUCUGAUUUUACUAACGAUCAACAACCCGGCCUAGAGGAUUAUUACCGCAAGUAUUACUGCCAGA